UACGUAGGGUGCAAGCGUUGUCCGGAAUUAUUGGGCGUAAAGAGCUCGUAGGCGGUCUGUCGCGUCGGCUGUGAAAACCCGGAGCUCAACUCCGGGCCUGCAGUCGAUACGGGCAAACUGGAGUGUUGCAGGGGAGACUGGAAUUCCCGGUGUAGCGGUGAAAUGCGUAGAGAUCGGGAGGAACACCAGUGGCGAAGGCGGGUCUCUGGGCCGAUACUGACGCUGAGGAGCGAAAGCGCGGGGAGCGAACAGG
This 253-nucleotide ribosomal RNA is filed under the name uncultured bacterium. RNAcentral describes it as "partial 16S ribosomal RNA". It matches the Rfam family "Bacterial small subunit ribosomal RNA", at positions 524 to 776 of the family's 1533-position model. The record is from RNAcentral.